UGCGUAGGUGGUGAGGUAAGUCGGAUGUGAAAUCUCGGAGCUCAACUCCGAAACUGCAUUGGAAACUACCUCGCUCGAGGGUUGGAGGGGGGACUGGAAUACUUGGUGUAGCAGUGAAAUGCGUAGAUAUCAAGUGGAACACCAGUGGCGAAGGCGAGUCCCUGGACAACUCCUGACACUGAGGCACGAAAGCUAGGGAGCAAACA
RNAcentral lists this ribosomal RNA (206 nucleotides) under uncultured bacterium. Its description in RNAcentral is "partial 16S ribosomal RNA". It matches the Rfam family "Bacterial small subunit ribosomal RNA", at positions 568 to 774 of the family's 1533-position model. The record is from RNAcentral.